AUACGGAGGAUCCGAGCGUUAUCCGGAUUUAUUGGGUUUAAAGGGUGCGCAGGCGGGAGAUUAAGUCGGCGGGGAAAUUUUUCAGCUCCACUGUAAAAGUGCCUUCGAAACUGGUUUCCUUGAGUGUAGAUGAAGUAGGCGGAAUUUGUGGGGUUGCGGUGAAAUGCAUAGAUAUCACGAGGAACUCCGAUUGCGCAGGCAGCUUACUAAACUACUACUGACGCUCAGGCACGAAGGCGUGGGGAUCAAACAGGAUUAGAUACCCUGGUAGUCCACGCAGUAAACGAUGAUUACUAGCUGUUUGCGAUACAAUGUAAGCGGCUGAGCGAAAGCGUUAAGUAAUCCACCUGGGGAGUACCUUCGCAAGAAUGAAACUCAAAUGAAUUGACGGGG
Molecule: ribosomal RNA, 393 nt
Filed under: uncultured bacterium
Lineage: Bacteria
Description: partial 16S ribosomal RNA
Rfam family: Bacterial small subunit ribosomal RNA
Source: RNAcentral